CGCAUGAUGCCUACGGGCCAAAGAGGGGGACCUUCGGGCCUCUCGCGUCAGGAUAUGCCUAGGUGGGAUUAGCUAGUUGGUGAGGUAAGGGCUCACCAAGGCGACGAUCCCUAGCUGGUCUGAGAGGAUGAUCAGCCACACUGGAACUGAGACACGGUCCAGACUCCUACGGGAGGCAGCAGUGGGGAAUAUUGCACAAUGGGCGCAAGCCUGAUGCAGCCAUGCCGCGUGUGUGAAGAAGGCCUUCGGGUUGUAAAGCACUUUCAGUCGUGAGGAAGGUAGUGUAGUUAAUAGCUGCAUUAUUUGACGUUAGCGACAGAAGAAGCACCGGCUAACUCCGUGCCAGCAGCCGCGGUAAUACGGAGGGUGCGAGCGUUAAUCGGAAUUACUGGGCGUAAAGCGCAUGCAGGUGGUUUGUUAAGUCAGAUGUGAAGGCCCGGGGCUCAACCUCGGAAUUGCAUUUGAAACUGGCAGACUAGAGUACUGUAGAGGGGGGUAGAAUUUCAGGUGUAGCGGUGAAAUGCGUAGAGAUCUGAAGGAAUACCGGUGGCGAAGGCGGCCCCCUGGACAGAUACUGACACUCAGAUGCGAAAGCGUGGGGAGCAAACAGGAUUAGAUACCCUGGUAGUCCACGCCGUAAACGAUGUCUACUUGGAGGUUGUGGCCUUGAGCCGUGGCUUUCGGAGCUAACGCGUUAAGUAGACCGCCUGGGGAGUACGGUCGCAAGAUUAAAACUCAAAUGAAUUGACGGGGGCCCGCACAAGCGGUGGAGCAUGUGGUUUAAUUCGAUGCAACGCGAAGAACCUUACCUACUCUUGACAUCCAGAGAACUUUCCAGAGAUGGAUUGGUGCCUUCGGGAACUCUGAGACAGGUGCUGCAUGGCUGUCGUCAGCUCGUGUUGUGAAAUGUUGGGUUAAGUCCCGCAACGAGCGCAACCCUUAUCCUUGUUUGCCAGCGAGUAAUGUCGGGAACUCCAGGGAGACUGCCGGUGAUAAACCGGAGGAAGGUGGGGACGACGUCAAGUCAUCAUGGCCCUUACGAGUAGGGCUACACACGUGCUACAAUGGCGCAUACAGAGGGCAGCCAACUUGCGAAAGUGAGCGAAUCCCAAAAAGUGCGUCGUAGUCCGGAUUGGAGUCUGCAACUCGACUCCAUGAAGUCGGAAUCGCUAGUAAUCGUGGAUCAGAAUGCCACGGUGAAUACGUUCCCGGGCCUUGUACUCACCGCCCGUC
Molecule: ribosomal RNA, 1233 nt
Filed under: Vibrio parahaemolyticus
Lineage: Bacteria; Pseudomonadati; Pseudomonadota; Gammaproteobacteria; Vibrionales; Vibrionaceae
Description: bacterial SSU rRNA
Rfam family: Bacterial small subunit ribosomal RNA
Source: RNAcentral